AAGGAAGCUCAUUAGGUUCCGACGGAACCGCAAGGGCGGGAAGCAAAGAGGGAAACGCGACGCCCAGGAGAGUGGAGGAGAGAUCGACGCCUUGGACAUGGAAACGAUUUAAACUUACUUGUAGCAAAUCCUUCAUGGUGGAGCAGGAAUAGGAAGCGUUUGACUUACUUUGGCCAGUGCAUAUGAGCAAACAUGAUGUUCAGCAAGUCCCAGCAGAUGCUUGAAGAGCCAUUGUCUGUUUCUACCAACUCUCUUGCUCUCUUCUGUUGCCAAAAGAGAAAGGUGUGAGGAAAGUUCAAGAGGGGAAACAAGAAAAGACUAGUGACAUAAUUUAAGAAAAGGAGGACUGCAAUGCAUCCUGAAGCUGCCUAUCUCCAAAUAUUCUCUCCUAUAGGCAGGGCCAACAGGUAUAAAGGGGAGCAGUCAAUGGACUCUAAGGAUAAGUAGAGGUAAAAACCUGAAGAAAAAUAAUGUCCUUUAGAAAAGUAUGUGUGCAAAUUGUCUACUAACUAGAUUUGAAAGAUGAUUCGUAAGAAACAAAUUUGGGAAUUAUUUUAUUAAGAAAUAUAUAAUGUCAAUUACAAAGGAACAUAUACAUUUUCAAAAGCAUUCACAAAAUAAAU
Long non-coding RNA from Piliocolobus tephrosceles (Ugandan red Colobus), 623 nucleotides. RefSeq lists it as uncharacterized. The record is from RefSeq and is a predicted model, not a curated record. The transcript has 3 exons. NCBI's taxonomy places the organism in Eukaryota, Metazoa, Chordata, Mammalia, Primates, Cercopithecidae.